CCUACGGGAGGCAGCAGUGAGGAAUAUUGGUCAAUGGACGAGAGCCUGAACCAGCCAAGUAGCGUGAAGGAUGACUGCCCUCUGGGUUGUAAACUUCUUUUAUAUGGGAAUAAAAUGUUCCACGUGUGGGUUUUUGUAUUUACCAUAUGAAUAAGGAUCGGCUAACCUCGUUCCAGCACCCCCGGUAAUACGGAGGAUCCGAGCGUUAUCCGGAUUUAUUUGGUUUAAAGGGAGCGUAGGUGGAUUGUUAAGUCAGUUGUGAAAGUUUGCGGCUCAACCGUAAAAUUGCAGUUGAAACUGGCAGUCUUGAGUGCAGUAGAGGUGAGCGGAAUUCGUGGUGUAGCGGUGAAAUGAGUAGAUAUCACGAAGAACUCCGAUUGCGAAGGCAGCUCACUGGACUGCAACUGACACUGAGGCUCGAAAGUGUGGGUAUCAAACAGGAUUAGAUACCCCAGUAGUC
RNAcentral lists this ribosomal RNA (460 nucleotides) under uncultured bacterium. RNAcentral describes it as "partial 16S ribosomal RNA". It matches the Rfam family "Bacterial small subunit ribosomal RNA", at positions 338 to 795 of the family's 1533-position model. The record is from RNAcentral.